GACGAACGCUGGCGGCGUGCUUAACACAUGCAAGUCGAACGGAAAGGCCCUGCUUUUGUGGGGUGCUCGAGUGGCGAACGGGUGAGUAACACGUGAGUAACCUGCCCUUGACUUUGGGAUAACUUCAGGAAACUGGGGCUAAUACCGGAUAGGAGCUCCUGCUGCAUGGUGGGGGUUGGACAGUUUCGGCGGUUGGGGAUGGACUUAGGGCUUAUCAGCUUGUUGGUGGGGUAGUGGCUUACCAAGGCUUUGACGGGUAGCCGGCCUGAGCGGGUGACCAGUCAGACUGGAACUGAGACACGGUCCAGAGUCCUACGGGAGGCAGCAGUGGGGAAUAUUGGACAAGGGGCGAAAGCCUGAUCCAGCCAUGCCGCGUGUGUGAAGAAGGUCUUCGGAUUGUAAAGCACUUUAAGUUGGGAGGAAGGGCAGUAAGUUAAUACCUUGCUGUUUUGACGUUACCAACAGAAUAAGCACCGGCUAACUUCGUG
Molecule: ribosomal RNA, 488 nt
Filed under: uncultured bacterium
Lineage: Bacteria
Description: partial 16S ribosomal RNA
Rfam family: Bacterial small subunit ribosomal RNA
Source: RNAcentral